This is a long non-coding RNA of Branchiostoma floridae (Florida lancelet), 424 nucleotides long. RefSeq lists it as uncharacterized. The transcript is spliced from 3 exons. NCBI's taxonomy places the organism in Eukaryota, Metazoa, Chordata, Leptocardii, Amphioxiformes, Branchiostomatidae. The record is from RefSeq and is a predicted model, not a curated record.
UCAAGUCAAGAUGGCGGUCGUCUCUUGUGUGGAUUGAUGUAGACUUGUGUCUUCUUCAUCGUUCUUUUCUUUCGUUUGGGCCACAGCAUGUUGAGGAUUCUGUAGCCCUUAAGUUUUUAACAUUCACGGAGUCUACCGUGCAAGCCGAGUGAACUGUCUCUCACAGUGUUUGGACAUAGUAGGUGCGACUGAAGAUGGAAAGAAAAAAGCCAGUCCAAGUCAUUUUAAGCUCCUCAAUGUGCUGGGACAAGGCAUUCCUUUUGCAAGACAGCGGUUUGGACCUGCAGCAACUUCCCACAGCGAUGGACGACAAAGUGGGCAGGAGGAAACUAAUUAUGUAGAGAUUCCGAGCGAGCUCGCCAGAGUGAAGUGAGUGAGUUUAAUCGUAAAAUGUUCUUACAAUUCUUAAAGUUAGCAUUUUUGC